Small nucleolar RNA from Rhinichthys klamathensis goyatoka, 128 nucleotides. RefSeq annotates it as small nucleolar RNA ACA64. NCBI's taxonomy places the organism in Eukaryota, Metazoa, Chordata, Actinopteri, Cypriniformes, Leuciscidae. The record is from RefSeq and is a predicted model, not a curated record. The transcript has a single exon.
ACAUACUGAAAAUUACCUCAGUUGUAACCAUUGACUGAAGUAAGAUAAUUGUGCCAACAGAAAAUGGUACAUUUUUAAGCUUAUUGUCAGUCAAUGUGACUCACAAUGAAACCCAUGUGCCAACAGUU